This 647-nucleotide long non-coding RNA is filed under the name Bos taurus (domestic cattle). RNAcentral's name for it is "long non-coding RNA NONBTAT015686". The record is from RNAcentral. Lineage: Eukaryota; Metazoa; Chordata; Mammalia; Artiodactyla; Bovidae.
GUGAGGGGCAGUGACACAGCUGUCAUGUAGAUGAGUUCUAAGAUCUCAUCUUCCCGCUGAAAGACAGACAGACAUACAAAUGUGUCUACCUGUCCCCAGGGAGGGAGAAGAAAUGACAGGAAGGUCUUGUGGAGUGAAAGUCACACCCUGAAGUCACUUUUCCAGCCUUCCUCCACGACUCGGGAGGAAACUAACUUUGAGUGUCUUCUUCAAGGUUAAGCUCACCGGGGGAGUGGAUGGAACCUGGCCAGAGGCGGUGAACUUCUCACAGAGGGCAUCCUCAGACUCGCCCUCUGCUCAGUGGAUCACUGCCCUCCCAUUACUCUGCCAGCACGUACCUGAUUUGGUGCACAUUUCCAUAAUUAAUUUAUAACAGCAAUAACCCCGAGAUGAGCCUAUGUAUAGGUUUGUGCAAGCUGGGUAAGAAUAUAGAUUAAAUCUCGGGUCAUUAACAAACUUUAAGUACUUGGGAGAGUUUUGUGAUUUGAUAAUAAUAUGAUUAAAAGGCCUCUAUCCUUGAUACAUAUUGGCAGUCCACAAGUUUACUUCCCUUCCCAAGCUUAGAAACAACGAAAUAGCAGAAUAAUGAGCAUACCACCCUCCCAACCACCAGAGAGCUUGUGUUGUCACUGGGAAACGACUUGUCG